UACGGGGGGGCAAGCGUUGUUCGGAAUUACUGGGCGUAAAGCGCACGUAGGCGGCUUUUUAAGUCAGGGGUGAAAUCCCGGGGCUCAACCUCGGAACUGCCCUUGAAACUGGGAAGCUAGAAUCUUGGAGAGGCGAGUGGAAUUCCGAGUGUAGAGGUGAAAUUCGUAGAUAUUCGGAAGAACACCAGUGGCGAAGGCGACUCGCUGGACAAGUAUUGACGCUGAGGUGCGAAAGCGUGGGGAGCAAACAGG
RNAcentral lists this ribosomal RNA (252 nucleotides) under uncultured bacterium. RNAcentral's name for it is "partial 16S ribosomal RNA". It matches the Rfam family "Bacterial small subunit ribosomal RNA", at positions 524 to 776 of the family's 1533-position model. The record is from RNAcentral.